This 253-nucleotide ribosomal RNA is filed under the name uncultured bacterium. RNAcentral's name for it is "partial 16S ribosomal RNA". It matches the Rfam family "Bacterial small subunit ribosomal RNA", at positions 524 to 776 of the family's 1533-position model. The record is from RNAcentral.
UACGGGGGGGGCAAGCGUUGUUCGGAAUUAUUGGGCGUAAAGGGUUCGUAGGCGGUCGACUCAGUCAGACGUGAAAUCCCUCGGCUUAACCGGGGAACUGCGUCUGAUACUGGUUGGCUUGAGUGCAGGAGAGGAAUGCGGAAUUCCAGGUGUAGCGGUGAAAUGCGUAGAUAUCUGGAGGAACACCGGUGGCGAAGGCGGCAUUCUGGACUGUAACUGACGCCGAGGAACGAAAGCCAGGGGAGCAAACGGG